RNAcentral lists this transfer RNA (64 nucleotides) under Scraptia sp. SCR03. Its description in RNAcentral is "tRNA-Ala". Lineage: Eukaryota; Metazoa; Arthropoda; Insecta; Coleoptera; Scraptiidae. The record is from RNAcentral.
AGGAUAAUAGUUAAUUUAUAACAUUUAAUUUGCAUUUAAAAAAUAUUGAUCUUCAAUUUAUCUU